UAGGGAAUCUUCGGCAAUGGACGAAAGUCUGACCGAGCAACGCCGCGUGAGUGAAGAAGGUUUUCGGAUCGUAAAACUCUGUUGUUAGAGAAGAACAAGGACGUUAGUAACUGAACGUCCCCUGACGGUAUCUAACCAGAAAGCCACGGCUAACUACGUGCCAGCAGCCGCGGUAAUACGUAGGUGGCAAGCGUUGUCCGGCUUUAUUGGGCGUAAAGCGAGCGCAGGCGGUUUCUUAAGUCUGAUGUGAAAGCCCCCGGCUCAACCGGGGAGGGGCAUUGGAAACUGGGAGACUUGAGUGCAGAAGAGGAGAGUGGAAUUCCAGGUGUAGCGGUGAAAUGCGUAGAUAUAUGGAGGAACACCAGUGGCGAAGGCGGCUCUCUGGUCUGUAACUGACGCUGAGGCUCGAAAGCGUGGGGAGCAAACAGG
RNAcentral lists this ribosomal RNA (429 nucleotides) under Gemmatimonadota bacterium. RNAcentral's name for it is "Gemmatimonadetes bacterium partial 16S ribosomal RNA". It matches the Rfam family "Bacterial small subunit ribosomal RNA", at positions 355 to 776 of the family's 1533-position model. Lineage: Bacteria; Pseudomonadati; Gemmatimonadota. The record is from RNAcentral.